AUGAGCUUUGAAUGGGAGGACAUUUUUCCUUUGGUCACAAUUCGUAAACUCGUGAGGGAUGUUUCGGACCACAAUCCACUUCUUUUGUCCUCGGGAGAGGAGAGACAAAAUAAGCCUAAUCAACACGAGUUCAGGUUUGAACUUAACUGGCUGUGUGACGAAAGCUUUUACCCCAUUGCCAAGGAGAUUUGGGAGCAACUUGUCUGAACUGACGAUCCUAUUGAUAUUCUUAAUAUCAAACUGAAACGCCUCAAAAAAUACUUUAAAGGGUGGGGCUCGAACAUUUUGGCCAUACCAGGAAGAGAAAAAAAGAAAUAA
Molecule: ribosomal RNA, 318 nt
Filed under: Triticum aestivum (bread wheat)
Lineage: Eukaryota; Viridiplantae; Streptophyta; Magnoliopsida; Poales; Poaceae
Description: partial small subunit ribosomal RNA
Source: RNAcentral